Molecule: ribosomal RNA, 459 nt
Filed under: uncultured bacterium
Lineage: Bacteria
Description: partial 16S ribosomal RNA
Rfam family: Bacterial small subunit ribosomal RNA
Source: RNAcentral
CCUACGGGAGGCAGCAGUGAGGAAUAUUGGUCAAUGGUCGGGAGACUGAACCAGCCAAGCCGCGUGAGGGAUGAAGGUACAGAGUAUCGUAAACCUCUUUUGUCAGGGAACAAAGGCGGGGACGUGUCCCCGGAUGAGUGUACCUGUAGCAAACGCAUCGGCUAACUCCGUGCAAGCAGCCGCGGUAAUACGGAGGAUGCGAGCGUUAUCCGGAUUUAUUGGGUUUAAAGGGUGCGCAGGCGGUCUGUUAAGUCAGCGGUCAAAGCCCGGGGCUCAACCCCGGCCCGCGGUUGAAUGUGGCAGACUCGAGUUGGAGAGAGGUAUGCGGAAUGCGCGGUGUAGCGGGGAAAUGCAUAGAUAUAGCGCAGAACUCCGGUGGCGAAGGCAGCAUGCCGGCUCCACACUGACGCUGAGGCACGAAAGCGUGGGUAGCGAACAGGAUUAGAUACCCCGGUAGUC